GUGUUGUGUCAUCAAACAGAAGGAUUUAAGGGGAGCGGUUUGAACUGAAGACCGGUCUUUAGGGGUAUCAGCCCCAAGAGACAGGCCCAGCCAGCUCUAAAGACUUUCAUCCAAAGUCCUUUGGAAUUGUCUUGGAUCAUUGCAUUGCUGAGAACAGCUAAGCAAUUCAGAGGGAGUUAUGAGAAAGAACUCUAUCCACAUUCAGAGGAAAAAACUGUGGGAGUAGAAACACAGAAGAAGAAACACUGAAGAAAAACAACUGCUUGAAUACAUGGUUUGAGGGGAUAUGAUUGGGGAUGUAAACUAAAUGAACAUCCUAGUGCAAACAUCAACAACAUGGAAAUAGGUUCUGAUCAAGGACACAUGUAAAACCCAGUGGAAUUACACAUUGGCUAUGGGGAGGGAAGGGAGGGAAAGAAUAUGAUUCUUGUAACCAAGGAAUAAUUGACUAAAUAAAAUUUUUUAUUUAAUAAAGUCUAAAUUGACU
RNAcentral lists this long non-coding RNA (487 nucleotides) under Monodelphis domestica (gray short-tailed opossum). RNAcentral describes it as "lncRNA (ENSMODG00000047562.1)". The record is from RNAcentral. Lineage: Eukaryota; Metazoa; Chordata; Mammalia; Didelphimorphia; Didelphidae.